RNAcentral lists this ribosomal RNA (447 nucleotides) under uncultured bacterium. Its description in RNAcentral is "bacterial SSU rRNA". It matches the Rfam family "Bacterial small subunit ribosomal RNA", at positions 329 to 793 of the family's 1533-position model. The record is from RNAcentral.
AUCCAGACUCCUACGGGAGGCAGCAGUGGGGAAUAUUGCACAAUGGGGGAAACCCUGAUGCAGCGACGCCGCGUGAGCGAUGAAGUAUUUCGGUAUGUAAAGCUCUAUCAGCAGGGAAGAAGAUGACGGUACCUGACUAAGAAGCCCCGGCUAACUACGUGCCAGCAGCCGCGGUAAUACGUAGGGGGCAAGCGUUAUCCGGAUUUACUGGGUGUAAAGGGAGCGUAGACGGCAGUGCAAGUCUGGAGUGAAAGGCGGGGGCUCAACCCCCGGACUGCUCUGGAAACUGUACGGCUGGAGUGCAGGAGAGGUAAGUGGAAUUCCUAGUGUAGCGGUGAAAUGCGUAGAUAUUAGGAGGAACACCAGUGGCGAAGGCGGCUUACUGGACUGUAACUGACGUUGAGGCUCGAAAGCGUGGGGAGCAAACAGGAUUAGAUACCCGAGUAC